GAUGAACGCUGGCGGCGUGCCUAAUACAUGCAAGUCGAGCGAACGGACGAGAAGCUUGCUUCUCUGAUGUUAGCGGCGGACGGGUGAGUAACACGUGGAUAACCUACCUAUAAGACUGGGAUAACUUCGGGAAACCGCAGCUAAUACCGGAUAAUAUUUUGAACCGCAUGGUUCAAAAGUGAAAGACGGUCUUGCUGUCACUUAUAGAUGGAUCCGCGCUGCAUUAGCUAGUUGGUAAGGUAACGGCUUACCAAGGCAACGAUGCAUAGCCGACCUGAGAGGGUGAUCGGCCACACUGGAACUGAGACACGGUCCAGACUCCUACGGGAGGCAGCAGUAGGGAAUCUUCGGCAAUGGGCGAAAGCCUGACGGAGCAACGCCGCGUGAGUGAUGAAGGUCUUCGGAUCGUAAAACUCUGUUAUUAGGGAAGAACAUAUGUGUAAGUAACUGUGCACAUCUUGACGGUACCUAAUCAGAAAGCCACGGCUAACUACGUG
RNAcentral lists this ribosomal RNA (497 nucleotides) under uncultured bacterium. Its description in RNAcentral is "partial 16S ribosomal RNA". It matches the Rfam family "Bacterial small subunit ribosomal RNA", at positions 28 to 507 of the family's 1533-position model. The record is from RNAcentral.